CCUGGGUGUGGUGGCUCACGCCUGUAAUCCCAGUGGCUCUGGAGGCUGAGGCAGGAGGAUUGUGAGUUCAAAGCCAGCCUCAGCAAAAGUGAGGCUUUUGCAACUCAGUGAGACCCUGUCUCUA
Molecule: small RNA, 124 nt
Filed under: Marmota monax (woodchuck)
Lineage: Eukaryota; Metazoa; Chordata; Mammalia; Rodentia; Sciuridae
Source: RNAcentral